RNAcentral lists this ribosomal RNA (1587 nucleotides) under Dendrobium catenatum. RNAcentral's name for it is "SSU rRNA". The stretch from base 2 to 1110 matches the Rfam family "Eukaryotic small subunit ribosomal RNA", at positions 4 to 1116 of the family's 1831-position model. Lineage: Eukaryota; Viridiplantae; Streptophyta; Magnoliopsida; Asparagales; Orchidaceae. The record is from RNAcentral.
CCUGGUUGAUCCAACCAGUAGUCAUAUGCUUGUCUCAAUGAUUGAGCCAUGCAUGUGUAAAUAUGAACUAUUUCACACUGUGAAACUACGAAUGUCUCAUUAAAUUAGUUAUAGUUUGUUUGAUGAUACGUGGUACUCGGAUAAUCGUAGUAAGUCUAGAGCUAAUACGUGCAUCAAAACCCCAACUUAUGGAAGGGAUGCAUUUAUUAGGUAAAAGUUUGAUGCAAGCUUAUGCCCGUUGCCCUGAUAAUUCAUGAUAACUUGUCGGAUCGCACGGCCCUUAUGUCGACGAUGCAUCAUUAGAAUAUCCGUCCUAUCAACUUUCGAUGGUAGGAUAGGGGCCUACCAUGGUGGUGACGGGUGAUGGAGAAUUAGGGUUUGAUUAUGGAGAGGGAGCCUGAGAGAUGGCUACACAUCCAAGGAAGGUAGCAGGCGUGCAAAUUACCCAAUCCUGACACGGGGAGGUAGUGAUAAUAAAUAACAAUACCAGGCUCUUCGUGUCUGGUAAUUAGAAUGAGUACAAUCUAAAUCCCUUAACGAGGAUCCAUUGGAGGGUAAUUCUGGUGCCACCAGCCGUGGUAAUUCCAGCCCCAAUAGCGUAUAUUUAAGUUGUUGCAGUUAAAAAGCUCGUAGUUUGACCUUGGGUUGGGUCAGUCGGUCCUCCUCACGGUGUGCAGCGCCCGCCUCAUCCCUUAUGCCGGCGAUGCGUUUCUGGCCUUAACUAGCCGAGUCGUGCCUUCGGCGCCGUUACUUUGAAGAAAUUAGAGUGCUUAAAGCAAGCCCACACUAUGGAUAUAUUAGCAUGGUAUAACACCACAGGAUUUCGGUCCUAUUGUGUUGGCCUUCGGGAUCGGAGUAAUGAUUAAGAGGGACGGUCGGGGGCAUUCGUAUUUCAUAGUCAGAGGUGUAAUUCUUGGAUUUAUGAAAGGCGAACUACUACGAAAGCAUUUGCCAGGGAUGUUUUCAUUAAUCAAGAAUGAAAGUUGGGGGCUUGAAGAUGACCAGAUACCGUCCUAGUCUCAACCAUAAACGAUGCCGACCAGGGAUCGGCAGAUGUUGCUUUUAGGACUUUGUUAGCAACUUGUGUGAAAUCAAAGUUUUUGGGUUCCUUGAAAUAUAAUUGCAUUAAGCAAAGUAAAAAAAAGAUUACAAAAUAGUAGAGCAAGCUUCCUAAAGACAAAAUAGGGGAAGGGCCAACCAAAAAGUACUACAAAUCCAAAAAACCAAAAGAACGCAAAAAAUAAGGGUCAGUCCACCGAGGGGAGACCAGAGUCAGGGGGGGGGAUAUCCGAGAGGUAAACAAACACCCAGGCUGACUGAGGAAAAUCCCAUUGCUCUGAGCACUGAUCCCACUCCAUGGAGAAGGCCCAAGAACCGCCAGAAGAGAAGGCGAAAUCAUCCCACACUUAAGGGGAUGACAUCCCCGCCCAAAGAAGUAGAAGGCCCCUUCUUGCUUUUGAGGGGCGAGGUGGCAAUGGGGCCAAGCUGAAGUAACUCUUUUUGCGGCACAAAAGCCCAAGUCCGAGGGCGGCGGCGAGACGGGCCCGUCACCGAGGAGCCAGAGGGAAGGGUGGGGCGGGUUGCCUC